This is a long non-coding RNA of Bradysia coprophila, 147 nucleotides long. RefSeq lists it as uncharacterized. The record is from RefSeq and is a predicted model, not a curated record. NCBI's taxonomy places the organism in Eukaryota, Metazoa, Arthropoda, Insecta, Diptera, Sciaridae.
UUCGUUUCGGUGUUUUAACAACAAGAAAAAAUGCUGCAACUAAAGCUUCAAUUUUUGGCUGUCGUCUCUAUAAUUCUGAUGGUACUUUCUAACGCCGAUGCCGAUAAGCCAAAGUGUGCUGAUUUAGCCGACUAUUAUCAUCCAUAU